GGGCACGUUCCGCGCUCAGCCAAGCCGGAGAGGCGCUGCAGUUUGCGGCCGCUGGGGGGGCGCCACCACGCGGCUGCACCGUGAGAACCGCUCUAGGAGCAGCAGGCAGUCCUGCAUUGGGACAAGGGCUGAAGCCGGGCCCUGGGAUUGGAUUUCUCCCUGCUUUCUAUCUUCUGCCUGCCCCAUGACUUCCAGUCCCCGGCAGAACCGGUCUCCGUCAUCGCCUAAUUUGGUGAUGAGCCCCGCAGAGCCACUGGGCAGCCGCCCCCUCUAGCCGUGCAUUGUGCAAUGGUCCGGCCACCGCAUGUGGGCAGAGGCAUGGAUGACAGGAAUAGCUUGAGGAAAUGACCCUUGCUGAGAUCUGCAGAACGGGAAAGCGCCUUGUGACUAGAUUAGGAUCAGAUGUGCCUGGCUUAAGCCUAAGCCUCCACCUGGGAGGAGGCGCCCACCAGUCUAUCCUGGCCAUCUGUAUAAACCGCCCCUGAUUCAGCCUCCGGGCAAGGUGGACUUUGGACAAAUGCCCCUGUCCUGUCUCAAUUAGUUGGCAUUUCAAACAAAGUCGUUCUUGUUACUUGACCCCGGUCUUCGCAGUUAAUAGAGAGGCGCCGGGUCAAGGAGCGUUUGCAGGGAGCCUCCAGAUCUGGAGUGACUCAUUUGGAGGCAUGUCACCCUCUCUGGGAACAAAUCACAGAUGUAGCCAGCACCCACCAUUUCCAGGGAGCAGACCUACGAAUAGCUCAUCUCGCCUGAGCACACACACAGCAAACAGCAGGCAGGAUGAAGCAGGUUCCCACAGGGUCAGAGCAGAGCAGGCAGGUUGAAGCUGCAAGUGCCAUCCACACUCUAAAGGCCAUCAACAUGGUGAGCGGCUGACGUCUGUCUCUUAGACAUUGUUCCCCUUGCUUCUGUAGUCAGAUUCAGCUUGUUCUCAAAAGCCAGACCUUCUCACUGGACUGACCUCCUUGCCUCCCUGGAACAGGGACUCAGAAGCACCCAGAAACCUCAGUUCCCCACCCACUGCAGGGCUAAGGUAGGAGGAUGCUGUCAUGAACUUUCUCAGGCUAAUUCAGUCACAUCAGUUUGGCAAAUUUUUGUUUCUUGGCAUAGCCCCGACUCUCUUGGAAUUCGCUCUGUAAACCAGGCUGGCCUUGAAAUUAGAGAUCUGCCUGCCUCGAUCUCCUGAGUUCCAGGAUUAAAGGUGUGUGCCACCGUGCCCAGCUGUGUGCUAAAUAUUUUUUGAGUGAGGUGCUGUGGAAAUACAGAUGUCACACAGGUCUGCAGCAGGCACCCUGUGUCUUUUCAGCCCAUGGUGGGUUAGACAUCCCUCAGAUCCCAGUCCAAACCUUUGCUGCAGCUGAAGACAGAGUUCAGAGUUCUAGCAGGCCUAAGACUCCGGCUCAGCAUGAAAACAAAAGUUAUGGGUCCCAAGCCCACCCUUGCCCUCAGUGUAGUCCUUGACACUCAUCAGGCAGCUCUGACAGACCUGCUGUGAUGGGAGGGGUGGGGGCAGGUGAGGGAGUAAAGGGGGUUCUGGGAAAGUAGCCUAAGAAUACAAGUGCUUGUUUGGAA
Molecule: long non-coding RNA, 1569 nt
Filed under: Mus musculus (house mouse)
Lineage: Eukaryota; Metazoa; Chordata; Mammalia; Rodentia; Muridae
Description: predicted gene, 49889
Source: RNAcentral